UAAGGAUCGGCUAACUCCGUGCCAGCAGCCGCGGUAAUACGAGAUCAGCGUAUCGAUCAUGGUUAAGGUCCGUAGGUGGAUAAUUAAGUCAGAGGUGAAAUCCUGCAGCUUAACUGUAGAAUUGCCUUUGAUACUGGUUGUCUUGAGUUAUUAUGAAGUGGUUAGAAUAUGUAGUGUAGCGGUGAAAUGCAUAGAUAUUACAUAGAAUACCAAUUGCGAAGGCAGAUCACUAAUAAUAUACUGACACUGAUGGACGAAAGCGUGGGGAGCGAACAGGAUUAGAUACCCUGGUAG
This 294-nucleotide ribosomal RNA is filed under the name uncultured bacterium. RNAcentral describes it as "partial 16S ribosomal RNA". It matches the Rfam family "Bacterial small subunit ribosomal RNA", at positions 487 to 793 of the family's 1533-position model. The record is from RNAcentral.